AUAUAUAUUAAAUAAAUUAAAUUUAAUCUAGAUUGUUUAUUAAUAAAAAAGACGUUAUUAGAUUUUAGUGCUGGAAGUUUGCUCAAAAUUAUUCAAUAACGCCAACGAACGCACCGUGCACGUAGUAUAAAGUGCAGACAGAAUGGACAAGAUAAUUUCAAAGAAUUUGGCAUUUUAUCAUGAAAUAAUUAUUACAUAUAGGAUGUUUAAGAUGUCAAUUUUAUUUGGAUUGACUACUUUCGCAUAUUAUGCAGGGUAAUCUCUCUUUACAUAUAUAUCGUUCACAUUUACAACAUUUUAAGGUAAUGAAAUCAUUUUGCAGUAGCACGCAAUUUGAGAUGUUCUUUCAGUAAGGAAAACGAUAAAUUAUGUACAAAAAAUAAGCGAUACUUUUCUUAUUUUAAAUGCAUCACGUAAUGUAACAUUCGCCAGUGUAUUCCGACUAUAUAACAAUGCGAAAAAUUACACUAAACACCACCAAUAUACAACCAGCUUGUUUUACGAUUUUAUGCUUCUUUUGAAUGCAGAAACUACUGGGAAUGUUAAUAAACAUAUUAAACAAUUUAGAUCCCCAAGACGCCUA
Non-coding RNA from Megalopta genalis, 583 nucleotides. NCBI's taxonomy places the organism in Eukaryota, Metazoa, Arthropoda, Insecta, Hymenoptera, Halictidae. The record is from RefSeq and is a predicted model, not a curated record.